This 531-nucleotide ribosomal RNA is filed under the name Aureobasidium pullulans. Its description in RNAcentral is "partial large subunit ribosomal RNA". It matches the Rfam family "Eukaryotic large subunit ribosomal RNA", at positions 75 to 613 of the family's 3401-position model. Lineage: Eukaryota; Fungi; Ascomycota; Dothideomycetes; Dothideales; Saccotheciaceae. The record is from RNAcentral.
UUGCCCUAGUAACGGCGAGUGAAGCGGCAACAGCUCAAAUUUGAAAGCUAGCCUUCGGGGUUCGCAUUGUAAUUUGUAGAGGAUGCUUUGGGUAAAACGCCAGUCUAAGUUCCUUGGAACAGGACGUCAUAGAGGGUGAGAAUCCCGUAUGUGACUGGAAAUGUUAACCUAUGUAAAGCUCCUUGGACGAGUCGAGUUGUUUGGGAAUGCAGCUCUAAAUGGGAGGUAAAUUUCUUCUAAAGCUAAAUAUUGGCGAGAGACCGAUAGCGCACAAGUAGAGUGAUCGAAAGAUGAAAAGCACUUUGGAAAGAGAGUUAAAAAGCACGUGAAAUUGUUGAAAGGGAAGCGCUUGCAAUCAGACUUGUUUAAACUGUUCGGCCGGUCUUCUGACCGGUUUACUCAGUUUGGACAGGCCAGCAUCAGUUUCGGCGGCCGGAUAAAGGCUCUGGGAAUGUGGCCUCCACUUCGGUGGAGGUGUUAUAGCCCAGUGUGUAAUACGGCCAGCCGGGACUUGAGGUCCGCGCUCGGGCU